RNAcentral lists this long non-coding RNA (483 nucleotides) under Carica papaya (papaya). Its description in RNAcentral is "long non-coding RNA (CPAP_LNC010753)". The record is from RNAcentral. Lineage: Eukaryota; Viridiplantae; Streptophyta; Magnoliopsida; Brassicales; Caricaceae.
GGAUGGAAGAAGGGAAAUGGAAGUGAUGAGGAAAUGGUGAAGGGAAGGUCCCUAUUUAUAGAAAAUGGAGACCAUUAGAUUUGUGCUAAGUGGUGAAAUCUGGUGAGGAGAGAGAAACUCAAUGGGAAAGGUGAGAUGUGAUGACUUACGGAUGUGACCAACAAAUGGAUGACGCGAUGUAACGACAGCGCAAAAAUUAGAGGCACACCAUGCAAACAAUGGUAGCACAUCGCCCAAAUCGACAGCGGUGCACCACCUAACUAAUGGUGAAGGCGGCUCGCAGCGCCCAAGGGUGCAAUGCGCACUGCCCGAGGUAGGGCACGCUAUCUUAGCAUGCUGCUCGGAGGCCUAGCCAGUUGCACGCUCAGGCCUAUCAUGCAGACCUACUGAGUGGAGGAUGCAUGCACAGGGCAUUCGGAGUCACCCCCGUCAACGCAUAAUGGGACAUGUGCGCAAACUGCGCCUCACACCUUGUGUGGAUGG